This is a long non-coding RNA of Lolium rigidum, 896 nucleotides long. RefSeq lists it as uncharacterized. NCBI's taxonomy places the organism in Eukaryota, Viridiplantae, Streptophyta, Magnoliopsida, Poales, Poaceae. The record is from RefSeq and is a predicted model, not a curated record. The transcript is spliced from 4 exons.
CCUCCUGCUGCUCCCGGCCGGCAAGAUCCGGCUGUCCUGGUUCCUCCAGGUGCGCUGCCGUCACCUCGACAGAAAGGAAGACCUGCUGCUGCUGCUGCUCAGCGACAUCGAAGAUGACGGACUGGUGCUGACAGAGCCCAGCCACUGAAGCAGCAUGCAGGAUAUCGGAGGCUACAUGAUAGCUGGGACAUGUAGCUGUCUGAAUGCAUCACUUGGGAGCUGGAAGACCCGGCCUGGGACCCUUUGCCUAGAUAUUAAUUUGCCAAGGUUGUCACCAUGGAUAUCAAUGGUCAUCACAAACCUAGAAGACGGCAGAGAGCAAUGGUGCAAAACCACUCAAUAAUUUUGGUGUAGUUGAUCCAUGGACGGCGUGGCGUACAAACCACGGACAAUAUCAUUGUUACUGAUGGGAAACCUGCCUUUUAAUGAGAUCCUUCGGUGGAGGUAACAGAGGAGAGUUGCGACACCUCCCAGGAAGCAAAGUGCAUUGCGAAUAGCCAUAUGAUUGUCAUUGGUGUCAACAUUGGCAUCGGUGGGAAGCGCAAACCCGCUGCCUCAUGUGGUCCUACUGCCUUGUGAUGGUGGUGGCCUCAGUGCACGACAACCACGGCACCGUCAGUGUUGUGCUUUUUGUACAACCGUAUGGUACGUGCUCCUAGUCCUAUAAGCUCCUCCUUGUAGUUUUGUGUCAUGGCUUCCAUGCCACGGCCAUGUGUGUGUGUUGUGCGAGUCGACAUGUAUGCUCCUGUGACACAUGUGGUAGUAGAUAGUCAAAAUACAGUCGAGUUUCUAUUUGGAUUGUGAGCCCAAGUUGGAUUUGUGUGUUUGAAUGUCUCUAUGGCUGUGCUGGUAUGUACUUUUACUAUUUUCUAUCUGAAUUGUGGCCUGGAUGUUCA